This is a non-coding RNA of Pelodiscus sinensis (Chinese soft-shelled turtle), 504 nucleotides long. NCBI's taxonomy places the organism in Eukaryota, Metazoa, Chordata, Testudines, Trionychidae. The record is from RefSeq and is a predicted model, not a curated record.
UUGAUGCUGCAGCCCUGGGCAGCGCUGGGCUCUCCAGCUGCUGCCUGGGCUCCCUGCUGGUCUCUCUCAUUUCAGAUCCUGAGGUGCUGGAGGAGCUGCUGACCUAUGAUGACCUUUUCCUGGACUAUUUCAAUGCCUUCCUGGCUCUGCCUACCUUUCCUCUGCGACUGAGCUACAGCCGGCUCAGGGGGCAGCUGCAGGAGCUGGAUGGCUUCCUGCGGGAGUCUCCCUGCCAGCGGGGAGUGCAGCCAAGCUGGCCUGGCUACGGAGCCACGGAUGAAGAGCGAGAGAGGAUCCUGGGCUGGCUGAGGAGUGAGCGCUUGCCCCCUUUUCAGAGGACGGCCCUUUAUCUGGAGUUCAAGUUGGCAAAGUUGCUGAUUCGUCCACUGGAUGAAGGCUGUCCAGUGAGCCGGCAUGAGAUUCGUGGGUACAGUCGUCAGUCGGACAGCACCGCAGUCUCCAGCAUUCCCAGUCACCCAUCAACAGCAGGGCUGCCCUUGGGGC